GACGAACCGUCCUAACGUUGUUCGGAAUCACUGGGCUUAAAGGGCGCGUAGGCGGGCUGCCAAGUCCGGGGUGAAAUCUUUCGGCUCAACCGGAAAAUAGCCUUGGAUACUGGCGGUCUCGAGGGAGGCAGGGGCCGUUGGAACUUCCGGUGGAGCGGUGAAAUGCGUUGAUAUCGGAAGGAACGCCGGUGGCGAAAGCGAACGACUGGACCUCUUCUGACGCUGAGGAGCGAAAGCCAGGGGAGCAAACGGG
This 253-nucleotide ribosomal RNA is filed under the name uncultured bacterium. RNAcentral's name for it is "partial 16S ribosomal RNA". It matches the Rfam family "Bacterial small subunit ribosomal RNA", at positions 524 to 776 of the family's 1533-position model. The record is from RNAcentral.